Molecule: non-coding RNA, 527 nt
Organism: Camellia sinensis
Lineage: Eukaryota; Viridiplantae; Streptophyta; Magnoliopsida; Ericales; Theaceae
Source: RefSeq, a predicted model, not a curated record
GACAAAGAAGUGAGGUGUGUGUGCGAGUGUAUAACCUGAUGAAGCUCAAGAAGAAAACACAAACAAAGCAAAGAAAAGGAAGCUCUGUCUUUGUAGCCGAAAAAGAGAGUGAGACAGAGCCGAGAGAGAGGGAGAGAAAGCCACUGUUUUUCUUUUUGUGUGUGCUGGAACUAGAGUUAAAGGAAGAAAUUAGGAGCAAAGAGGAAGGUAAAGAGUAACAAUAAGAGGCUCAAGAAUUCAUCUUGGAAGAAUAAUAGGUGAUCAGGCGCGUGACUAGACUUAGAGGCACCUGCCUAGAAUCUGUUUUUGUCAGCCAACCUAUGUGCCUCCCGUGGAGGUUCCGGAUGUGUCAAAUGAUUAUGGCUAUGCGAUUUAAAGUUUAAGUUUUGCUUUCUUGUUUGGUUAAACAAGUCUUGUGUAUUUUGUAUAUGGGGCUAGUCUCUUUUUUGUCUAAUCUAUAUAUAGAUGAUGACUUAAAGAUAAUGUGUAUAUAUGUAUAUAAAAAGUUUAAAUUUUUUUUUGUCUCA